AUGAACACUAACAUGUCCAACCCCAACCCCAACCUCAACCCCAAUGCCAACCCCUUCCCUUGGGGCAUUGGAUGGAGGGCUUUCUUCCUAGGGUGCUCGCUGGGUGACCGCACCAAGUUUGAGAACACCAUGGAAGUGUGCUCAAAUUGCAGCAGCAUGGAAGAGCUGGACAAAGAGUCGGACGUUGUGGUGAAGAAGGCGACGUUGAAGGAUUUGAAGACACUGAUUCCUGACCCAACAAAGGGCGCUAUGUCAGUCAACAUACUUCGCUGGGCCAUGAAUCAGGCUGAAUCCGGCGACGCUGGACAGAGAGCAAAGUGGGAAAAGUACAGGCAAUAG
Molecule: ribosomal RNA, 339 nt
Filed under: Triticum aestivum (bread wheat)
Lineage: Eukaryota; Viridiplantae; Streptophyta; Magnoliopsida; Poales; Poaceae
Description: partial small subunit ribosomal RNA
Source: RNAcentral